UGUCCAGCCGCGCCCGGAGGCGCGGGUGUGCGGAGGCCGCGCGCAGCCCCCAGAGCAAGUGUUUAACGGAAAUCAGAGGUGGAAAAAGACGUUGGAGGAUCCCAUUUCGUUCCACCGCGUUUACCGACGCGCCCGCGGGUAGCCGCGCUUCGGGCUGGGGGCUUUGGGGCCACGCACGUGAGUCAGGGUCUUCUGGCCGCUAAGUCACGCGCAGAAGUUACCCAAAAUAGAAGGAAUUUCGACGCGUAUCCUAAGAAUAGCAUGGAGGGUUUUGAGGCGCACAGGAGCUAGGGAACAUCAGGCCUUUGGCUGAGCUGCAGUCUUCAGCGUGCUUUGCUGGCCUGGUGCAGAUCGUCAAAGGGUACUUCCAGCUCUUUGGAGUCUUUCUCUUUAGGACACCAAGGAAAAGUGAAAAAAGAUCCACAUUUGGGGAGGUUGCUUGGUGGAUACAUGUAUUGCCUCAGCGAUGGAUGCACCGAAGGUCCUGACUUCACCCCAAUGCAGUAUGUCAGUGUAGCAAAAUUGCACUUGUACCCCAUGAAUAUGUACAAUAAAUAAAUAAUAAAUGUUUUUUUUUUCUUCA
This is a non-coding RNA of Microcebus murinus (gray mouse lemur), 583 nucleotides long. NCBI's taxonomy places the organism in Eukaryota, Metazoa, Chordata, Mammalia, Primates, Cheirogaleidae. The record is from RefSeq and is a predicted model, not a curated record.